AUGUUCAAUCAAGCCUUGUUGGCAAGGCAGGCUUGGAGAUUGCUGAUCAACCCUGAGAGUCUCUGCGCAAGAGUCUUGAAAGCACGUUACUAUCCCAAUGGACGGCUAGAGGACACGGUUUUCUCCACAAAUGCAUCACAAACUUGGCAGUCCAUCGUCCAUGGGUUGGAGCUUUUGAAACAAGGCCUGAUUUGGCGUAUUGGUAAUGGCAGAUCGAUUCGCAUUUGGAGGGACCCUUGGAUCCCUCACUCCACUGGUCGCCCUCCAAUAUCGCAACAAGGUAGAUGUAGACUGCGAAGGGUCAGCGAUUUACUUGAUGAAACGGGUGCAAGGCGGUCAGACUUACUGCAGCAAUACUUUUUGCCUAUUGACGUCCAUCAUAUCAUGAAGAUAAAGGCCUCUCCACGGCUAGGCGAUGACUUUAUUGCAUGGGGGGCUGAACGUACCGGUAUCUUCACCGUACGUAGUGCGUACCAGUUGGCACUCGAGGACAAGUUGCGUCCCUCUUCAGUCGCGGCGAGCAGGGCACCGGACGGGCGACGUGCCGUCUGGGCAUUUUUAUGGAGGUGCCCUGCUCCUCUAAAGAUGCGUGUUUUUUGUUGGCGUGUGGCUACGAAUGCUCUCGCAACUUGGGCAAAUAAAUUUGCACAGGGAGCGGAGCAGCCAAUAUCGCAUGUGGACGUUAGCUGGAAGUCUCAGCGCAAGUGGAGCCCGCCUCCGGAAGGUUGGGCGAAGCUCAACGUGGAUGGGUCAUUCUCACACGAGGAUGGAAGCGCCGGUGCCGGCAUGAUCUUGCGCGGGCACGACGGCGCCAUCAUUUUCUCUGCAUGCCGUUCGCUUCGGUUAUACCCGGACCCAUUGCACGCUGAGUUGGCCGGGUGCACGGAGGGACUCGGCCUAGCUUUGCAGUGGACGGAGUUGCCGAUUAUCCUGGAGUGUGACAGUAUGCAGGCCGUGCAGAUGAUCAAGGCCAAAGGACCGGAUCGUUCCCAGCAUGCGAUGGUGGUCUCAGAAGUAAAGAGUCUUAUGGGUACAAGGGAGUGUUGUGUUACUCACAUCUCUAGAGAGCAAACUAAUAUUAGUCAUGUGUUAGCAAACUUCGAUCGAACGGAGAACCGUACUGUGGUCUGGCUCCGCUCGAACCUGCUAAUGUCCCUAGUCUGUGUAGGGAUGAAUUCGUGUACUCUUGAGUAA
RNAcentral lists this ribosomal RNA (1194 nucleotides) under Triticum aestivum (bread wheat). Its description in RNAcentral is "partial small subunit ribosomal RNA". Lineage: Eukaryota; Viridiplantae; Streptophyta; Magnoliopsida; Poales; Poaceae. The record is from RNAcentral.